Molecule: RNA transcript, 4760 nt
Organism: Anopheles coustani
Lineage: Eukaryota; Metazoa; Arthropoda; Insecta; Diptera; Culicidae
Gene: yem
Gene name: ubinuclein-1
Exons: 6
Source: RefSeq, a predicted model, not a curated record
GAUUUUCACGGAUUUUCAGAAAAGUACGUCGUUUUGCUGUCGAUUCCGGUGUCGGUGAAUGGUUGUCGGUCAAGAUAUUUGCGUUGUUCUCGUGCGAAAUCUACUAUUCCAGCGCAUCACGGUGAAUUAAGCGCUUCUUCAGUGAUUCGAUCUAUGCUUCGAUCGCGGCUUCGUGACCAGUGCACUGUGUCGUAAAUGUGUGCGUGUUUUUGCUUUGGCUGAAGGGUUUGCAAAAAUCGGAAAACCAUCGGUUCUUCGACUUUGACGAAACCUGCCUCAUGGGGUGUUCCAUUUGGUGUUCUUUUUUGUAUGUUCGUGUGCUACUAAUUAAACGGAAUUGAUGCCGUGUCGGUGAACGUGGCCCUCCUAUUAGGCACGGUUGCCCGGAGGGAAUUAACGACAGUGGCCAGGUCUCGCGGUACCCCCCCCCAGCCUACCAAGUGUGUUUUGCCUAAUUUUUUUUCAUUAAUUUCCUUCGUCCCGUCGAAUUGCUGCGCUCCUGGACCGUGCAACCGCCAUCCGUCCCUAGCGAGAAGAAGAAGGUGCGUUUUCGAUGGUCUCCGUGUCGGUGUGUGCGUUGCGAAUGACGGAAAAGCGGAACGACCUACCUGGUGACCACAUUAAGGAAGUAGAAGAAGUUAUCGGAUGAAGAACACUGCACCUGGGACAGGAAAAGAAGUAAAGCGCGACGGCGAACGAAGGCGGAAAAGAAGUAGUAGGCAACGAAGCGAGGGCCGUACCGUCCUCCGAUCUACACUCCCUCUGCCCGCCUGACAGCAACGGCAGGAGAACGGAAACGGUGCGCCAGCAGCAGGAAAAGUGUGUGUCUUGUGUGUGCUGAAUAGGGAAAAAAUAUGUCGGAUGUGAAACGUGUAACGCUUACUACGAUUAGUGAUGUGGUCAGGAAGGGCGGCGGUGGAGGCACCGGUGGCCCUUUCGGUGCACUUGCGUUCGAUUCGGCCAACGCCAUGAGCUCGGCGUUCGGUGGCGGCAGUUCCGCAUUCGGCGGAGCAAGCCACACACCCGCGGGCAAGGAAUCGGCUGGCGGAAGCGGAGGGGCCGACGGAGGCAAAUCCGGAGCCUCGGGGAAAAAGCAGAAAACUGUGCGCCUCGAACUGAACCUGUUUGAGCCGACCGCGGAAAGCUUUCCGGAGUUCAACUUUUCCAAGCUGAUUCACGAGGAACAGAAACGAUUGAAGAAAGCACAGAAAAAGCUUCACGAUGAUGCAAACAAUGGUUUCCUGUCCGAUCCUGAACUGGAUAACGAUGUAGCCCGCAUGGCAAGAGAGUUGGAGCGAAAGUACGGUUCCGGCACGGCCUACGGUGGAAAAGAAAAAAAUUCACGCCCCUCGAAGUUGGACUACUAUGAUCGGGGAGCUGGCUACGACGAGGAGGACUCGUUCAUCGACAAUUCCGAGGCGUACGAUGAGCUGAUACCACAGGAGAUCGAGACGGUCGGUGGCGGGUUCUACAUUAACUCCGGCCAGCUGGAGUUCAAGCAAUUGUCCAACUUCGAACGACCGGACGAUGUACACCGUAUGCCCAAACCGAAGAAGCGUGCACUUUCAACGACCUCUGAGAGCAGUGACGAAGAAGACCCGCCGACGAAUGCCAAAAAGAAAUCGGAAGAAACGCCCCAGCCACAGGCAGAGAAACCGGUGGCUACUCCCGAACCACAACGGGUCGGUGAAGAGGAGCGAACGAACGCCGGCGGUGGCAACAGUGGACCGGAGGUGGGAUCCGGUGAGGACAAGCAGCCGCGCGUGAACGGGCAUGUCACCAAGAAGCCAAAACUGGCUGACAGUGGACCGAAAGGUGCUGGUUUGGAAAAGGAUAAAUCUAAAUCCACCUCCGGAACGAACGUCGUAUCUGCAGAAAAGGCGAAUGGAGUGAAAGCUAAAGUCGCUGCUACGUGCACACAACCGGCAAUCGGAGGUCCGCCGGCCGAGGUCGCCGCUGCUAGUUGUGGUGGAGGUGGUGGCAGCAAGAAGGAUGAGAAUGAAAACGACGGUGGCGUUAAGUUGAUCAAAACGACCACGGUGAAGGACAUGCUGCGGGCCAAGCGGGAUAGCUUGCGCAAGAUGGAGCAGGAAAAGAAGGGCCGCAGCAGUGGGUCUAGUAGGGUUUCUAGCUCCGAGGCGGAGGAAGAUGGAGACGGUGGUGCCGACGAGGAUGACGAGGAUGAGGAGAACGACGAGGACGAUGAUGAGGAUGAGGAGGAAGAAGACGACGACGACGAGGGCGAUGGUAGUGGUAAGGAGUCGAACGAAUCUGGCUCCGAGGAGGACAUUGGGUCGGAAAGUGCGAGUAGCCACGGGAGUACGAGUGAAAAGGAUCCGGCGGCAGGACAAAAGGUGGCCGUGGCCCCUGCCGUAAACGGAACCGACGGUGAAACGGGCCAGCGGCCAGCGGUUGUAGCGCUUCCAGAACAAAAAGAGAAAGAGCAAAAGGAACGCAAACGGAAGGAAUGCAAACUACCGGACGAGCUGCCCGACUCGUUGCGGAAGGUUGUGGAAGCGCUGAAAGAGGUCGCCCGGAGUCACGCCAUCGGAGGUAAGCUGAACUAUUUCGACAGCAAGGUGGCCGAAGUGUUGCUGCAGGUCGACGAGGAAGCUCGGGCGGCAGGCAAUAGUACCCGUAACGCCGUCUUCCGUCACCUGGAGGGCCAACUCUCCAUCAGCCGGCAGUCGCUGCAGUUAAAAAUUAAAAAGAUACGCACCCGUAAGUUGGAGGGCCGGGCGAAGGUGGCGCUCGAUCAGCUUCAGUAUGCAAUCUCCGAUCAAAUGCCUCUCCUGCUGGCCAAACACGUAUAUGACUGCCAGACUGUGGCGGAACAACGAGCGGCACAAGCGGCGGCGGCGGCUGCAUCGGCAAACAGCACCAUCCUGCCAACUGGGAGCGACCCGGCGUCUGCGUCAAAUAGCGAGAAACCGGCACCGCAAACCACAAACACUCCGCAGAUUCGAAAUCCAAAGAAAAAGUUCCCUUGGAACGAGAAGACGCGGGACCUGCUGUGGGAAUUGUACAGCAUCCGCGUGGAACUGUUCCCGCUGCUACGGCCCCGCAAUGAAACCGAGGACGAUUUUGUGGCGGAAUAUCUGCGCAACAAGUUGGUCCCGCUGUGGCCGAAGGGAUGGAUACGUUACGAGGACCUGCACAAGGAGCUCGACCGGCGGAAAAAGGCACUGUCGAAGGCACCCGUCAGUGCGGUGGCAAAGAAGCAUCCUCCGCUAGUCGUCAUCCCGUCACACGCCACGUCAUCCGCCUCCAACGUCAUCGAUCCGAGCUGGAUGUCGCCCGGCACGGUCACCGCCGGAGUUGUGAUGAACGGUACUGCGAAAUCGAUUGGCAACUCGUCGUCGGGCGGUGGUGGGGCAGGAGGAAGUGUUGGAAAACAGGGAAGUGGAUCUUCCGUGACAACGCAACCGCCGCAUCUCUCACCGAACGGCAACAAACGUGCCUCUUCCGAUCACAGCAUCAGCAACAUCAUGAACUCCCCUCCCCUACCGCCACCACCAACCACCGGUGAGAAGCAGCAUUCCGCCGCCAAUCGAUCGCAAACGAUCACCACCGGCCGGCGUUCGUUCGAUGACGACCAAAUCAUGCUCUCUCCACCGAAACCUGUCGCUAGCGGGGACAAAGAUAGUUCGAGCGCCAAACGCGGCGGACCGUUAGCUUUCCCAAUCGAGCCGAGAACAUCGAUCGGUAUCGCGGCAGGUGAUCUGACUUCCACGAAUCAACGGCAACGGUGGAGCAGCCGUGAAGACGAUAGCGAUAGCAGUAUUGAAAUCAUUGGCGAGUUUAACGUGAUCGGUGGAGGGUCAGCUGGUAGCGCAAGCCAGAAUCAUUCGCUCCCGCUCGCCCCGACCGGGGUUAUCCAUUCCGCGAAAUCCCUGCUUCAAUCGCAGCCGAUGGUCGGCGGACCAGCGCCAUCCGCAACUGCCGGCGUGCUGCCCGUGCUCAACAAGGAAAAGUAUAAAAAUUUGAUCGCGGGGAAAAAUAAAGCCCACGGAGCUGGUGGAAGUAGUGGUGGUGACGGUAGCAGUCCCAUCCGUUCGGCGGACACAACGCCCACCGGUCCUCCCGCCAACAAAUACUCCAAACACUCACCGUCGGUUAGUGAUCGUAUCAUGCAACACGGCAUCCCAGGAUCUUCUCUAUCGUUUGCGACCCCUCCGCCGUCCGGGUCGGUUGGUUCGUCCGGCAGUAGGAUAAAGGAAUCGCCCUCGACACCAUCGCUCGAUUUGGACGUGCACCAGAUAAUGAAGGAUCUCAAGGAGUUUCAGGAACUCCAGCAGCAUCACAAUGUCGGAAGCAAUCGCAAGACGGACAACUCAACGAUACCACCACAACAGCAGCACGUGCAAGUUCCAUUGACACAAUUUUUGCCUCGUUCGUAAGACAAUGUAAUUGGAAAGGCAUGCCUCCGUCUUCUACCGAGCAUGUAGCCUCAGCGAACAAACAACACAUCCAAGCGUGCGUUGAUAGUUGUGGUGGUUUACAUACUCUUAUUAUGCAUAUUAAGAUCGUCCGGAAAAAUCGAAAAAUGGACCUAUCGUUGUCGAUUGAAUGCCGGAACGUGAAAUGGCAAAACUGACCAAAAGUAGUUGAGGUGAGCAGCGAUUGAUGAAAUCAGCUCUUAAUGGAGGAACAAUUUAAAAAAAAACCUCGUGUUGUUUGGCGGUGCAGCAACUAUUGCGGCAUCCUCCUCCACAGAAAUGUAUAAACCAAGUAAAUAUUUGAUUAUGUUUAACGGAACA